Molecule: non-coding RNA, 68 nt
Organism: Ensifer adhaerens OV14
Lineage: Bacteria; Pseudomonadati; Pseudomonadota; Alphaproteobacteria; Hyphomicrobiales; Rhizobiaceae
Source: Rfam
UGUCAAGCGUUUUUAACGUCGUUUCGGCGAACGGACUUCUUUUGCCUUUGAAAAGGUGAAGAGAGAUG